Non-coding RNA from Podarcis lilfordi (Lilford's wall lizard), 70 nucleotides. Lineage: Eukaryota; Metazoa; Chordata; Lepidosauria; Squamata; Lacertidae. The record is from the annotation of a GenBank genome assembly.
GGAUAGCUCGGUCAGUUAGAGCACGAGACUCUUAAUCUCAGGUCUGUGGGUUCGAGUCCUGUGUUGGACA